This 70-nucleotide transfer RNA is filed under the name Dipodomys ordii (Ord's kangaroo rat). It matches the Rfam family "tRNA". Rfam says of the family: Transfer RNA (tRNA) molecules are approximately 80 nucleotides in length. Their secondary structure includes four short double-helical elements and three loops (D, anti-codon, and T loops). The record is from Rfam by way of RNAcentral. Lineage: Eukaryota; Metazoa; Chordata; Mammalia; Rodentia; Heteromyidae.
GGGCAUGUAGCUCAGUGGUAGAGUGCUUGCCUAGCAAGCAUGAAGCCCUGGGUUCGAUUUCUCAGUACCA